AACGCACAUUGCGCCCCCUGGCACUCUGGGGGGCAUGCCUGUUCGAGCGUCUCCAGUAAGAGCUCUCGCGCUAGUGAAGGCGCGGUCGUGGCGGCGGUGGCGUGCCCGAGCGGGCUGCCACCGGGCUGGAAUGCAUGGGCGGGACGCCUGCAGCGUUGCCGAGCGUGAUAUUUCGCAUUGGCGCCGGCUCGCGGCGAGGCUCCCGGCCCUGGCCCGUCCGACGGGCGGGGGAUUGCGUAGUGACGGAACUCCUCGAAUCAGGUAGGGAUACCCGCUGAACUUAA
Molecule: unclassified non-coding RNA, 284 nt
Filed under: uncultured Helvella
Lineage: Eukaryota; Fungi; Ascomycota; Pezizomycetes; Pezizales; Helvellaceae
Description: sequence contains ITS2
Source: RNAcentral